This 472-nucleotide ribosomal RNA is filed under the name uncultured bacterium. RNAcentral describes it as "bacterial SSU rRNA". It matches the Rfam family "Bacterial small subunit ribosomal RNA", at positions 28 to 507 of the family's 1533-position model. The record is from RNAcentral.
GAUGAACGCUGGCGGCGUGCAUAACACAUUCAAGUCGAACGAGAAUCAGAGUCUAGCUUGCUAGAGUCUGAGGAAAGUGGCGACGGGUGAGUAACGCGUGAGCAACCUACCUUAAUGCAGGGGAUAACGUUUGGAAACGAACGCUAAUACCACAUAACGUAUCGGAAUCGCAUGUUUCUGAUACCAAAGCUCCGGCGCAUUAAGAUGGGCCUGCGGUGCAUUAGCUAGUUGGUGGGGUAAUGGCCUACCAAGGCGACGAUGCAUAGCCGAACUGAGAGGUUAAUCGGCCACAUUGGGACUGAGACACGGCCCAAACUCCUACGGGAGGCAGCAGUGGGGAAUAUUGGGCAAUGGGCGCAAGCCUGACCCAGCAACGCCGCGUGAAGGAAGAAGGCCUUCGGGUUGUAAACUUCUUUUGGCAGGGACGAAUAAAAUGACGGUACCUGCAGAAUAAGCCACGGCUAACUACGUG